UGCCAUGGUCCCGUGGAACUUCCAAAACUCUUGGGGGGAAACCGUAUGAGACAAGCAAGCAUACACAACUGACGUCCUUGUGUAUUAAAACAUGUCCCCUACUAUCUGUGAACUAGGCGACGGAAACUUUGAAAAGAUGCUCAAAGACAAAAAUUUGGACAUUCUCGAAACGUCUACAAUAAUAAAGAAUUUAGAUCUCAAUCGAAUGAAACUCUGUCCUAGACUACAGCCACUGUCAUCUCUCGCGUUUUGUGCUUCUUUUUUGGAAUAAACACCAGAAGCUAACUUCAUUUGUUUCGGUCAAUAAUAAUAAUAAUAAUAAUAACAUUAAUAAUAACAUCCAUGAUAACUGUGGACCAGCGUUAUUUCGGAAAUAAAUUUCACAGGAGACUAUAUUUUAUGUUCCGUUUCAUGGUCGGACCGUCAGCUGCAGACAACUCUGCUCACACUCUGUGUUAGUGUCAAUCUGGAUGACGUCCCCUGCAGACUCGCUAUCUAAAUAGGAGUUCCCUAUAAAUGAGAUAUCAGUGGAAAUAUUUCUUGGAUAUCUGGUUUCAUGUCUUCGUGAAGGCGUAUACUGUAUACAAGACGUAGGCUGCAUUUGGGACGAGGCGCAACAACAUCGAAAGAUAUAUCUACAGAAAUCUAGUGCAGUUUGGAGCUUUAGCUGUGGCGCAGUUUGAAGAUAUUGAAAAUAGGAGUCCAGACAAGUAAAAUAAUACCAACACCUUAUAUCCUAUGUCGACAAGUUCACGACCCCUAGCAGUGUGAUCGCUCAGGAUACGAAGGUUUUUUCGCAUCAAAAUUAACCAUACCAGAAGAAGAGAACCUAAACGUUGAUCUAAUCUAUUAUUAGAAACUAUAAAAUGAUUGGUUGAAACCAAUAAAUGGCAGACAUUAUGA
Long non-coding RNA from Biomphalaria glabrata, 903 nucleotides. RefSeq lists it as uncharacterized. The record is from RefSeq and is a predicted model, not a curated record. NCBI's taxonomy places the organism in Eukaryota, Metazoa, Mollusca, Gastropoda, Planorbidae. The transcript is spliced from 3 exons.